This 65-nucleotide transfer RNA is filed under the name Dipodomys ordii (Ord's kangaroo rat). It matches the Rfam family "tRNA". Rfam says of the family: Transfer RNA (tRNA) molecules are approximately 80 nucleotides in length. Their secondary structure includes four short double-helical elements and three loops (D, anti-codon, and T loops). The record is from Rfam by way of RNAcentral. Lineage: Eukaryota; Metazoa; Chordata; Mammalia; Rodentia; Heteromyidae.
GGUGGCUCAGAGGUAGAGUGCUUGCCUUGCAUGCAUGAGGCUCUGGGUUCAAUUCCUCAGCACCA